GUGAUUUCCUGCUUGUAAUUCUCACACUCCGUUGUUGAAAGUGUAUUGGACUGCCAACGUGCUGAAACACAGAUAUGUUGGGAGUUGCCCGGAUGUCUUUGUCAGAGCCACGAUGUGUGAGGUAACGUGGUAGCCAUGCCAAGGCAAGGUGGGGGUACUGCUAUGGUAACUCUUACAUGUUUUGCUCUAAGUUUAGUCCUGAAUAGAACCCGUGACUUAGGAGCAGCUGCCAUGAAAAGGUUACAGCCUCUUCUUUUAUGGCUCUUUGGAAAUAGCCAUGCCACUGACUCACGAUGUUCUCCUCUUUUUUUAAAUAUAACAUGUUCAUGAAAUGACAGAGGUAGUACUGUAAAUGUGUGUAGUGUUCAAAUCAUAACAGACACAUCAUCCCCAUCAUGUACUGUAUGUGGCAGUGAUCAUGGUGACUGAUUAGAUACUAUGGUUAGCGAAAGACAGUAGAUCCACAAAUCUUUUUUUUUUUCCUUCAUUUUUUUUCCUUCUCAGUUCUCUGACAGGCUCACUUGAAAAAAUUAAGUUGGUAUGAUAUGCUAUGAAAAUAAUUAUUGGCUUAAUUGCAUAUGUGGUAUAAAAUAUAUAAACAGAUAGUAUUCUUUCGUUGCUGUGAGUGCCACUGCCAAUACAUACACCCCCAUCAUGAUGGCUCACACGUUUAGCCAGAGAGAAUGGUUUGUUGUUAACCUCCUAAUCGGACAGUCUUCAGAGAUGACAGAUGGACUUUAAGAGUUCCUCCGUUGACAGGAAAGGUAUAGUUGCCGUCUAAGUAUAUUUUAUGAUAUUUGAAAUCUGCACACUGCACAGGUACGUUUCCUGAUGAGGAAUGUCCAGUGUCCUCUGGAGAAAGAGAAGGGGCCUGAAGCAGCUCUGUUAGUGUGUUACAGGUAGAAGAUGUCUUUCUAGUUAAAACAGGGACACAAAAUUACAGACAAUAACAUCAGAGACCAAAUAAAAAGCAGUAGUUGCUAUCCAGGCUCCUUGGGAUGUCACAACCCUGGUUUCAUG
Oncorhynchus tshawytscha (Chinook salmon) is the source of this 1020-nucleotide long non-coding RNA. The record is from Ensembl. Lineage: Eukaryota; Metazoa; Chordata; Actinopteri; Salmoniformes; Salmonidae.